CAUGAUUCAUUAAAAAUACAAAUAAAAAGAUACAACAUAACCCCCAAGAAAUAAAAAAUAAAAGAAAAGGUAUGUUCCUCUUCCUAUUGCUGAAUUUGACCUAUCGGUAGCCAUGAAAUAGGAAAGAGAGCAUUAUGGCGAUCUUACAAUUCAUUCAUUCAGUAAAAUCAUGCAUCCAAAGAUGUAAAUCUACAUUCGCGCCACCAAAGGAAACUGUACAGCCAGCAGCAUGGACACCAGUCUUCAGACAUAGGUAACCAAUCAAAAUAGCACGAUAGAGUCGAAGUAACACUGCCAGAAGUAACACGAAUCCCACUCUGGCCAGCAAUUAUCCCAUUUUCUGUUGCUCAGUCACUUCAUAUAAGAUGUACAUUGUUUCUGUGCCCACAGGAAAAGCAACUAUCAACAUGACCUGGAGCUUCAAUUAGUGGCUCGAGGAAUAGAGCCAACCAGAGACUUCCACACAUGAUGCUGAAUGAAACAAGUUACCAUCAUUCUAAUCUGAAUAGACUUUCAGCUCUCUUCGUAUGAAACAAUAAAAAAUGCUGUCACCCAAUUUAUGCGACUUGCAUUAAAUAUUUUUUCAUUUUACUUAACAGCUCGCACACCAAUAGUCUUGACACGGAAUCUAAACUGCGGCUGAGAAUCCUCCUCCUCGUCAUCGUCAUCUUCGCUAGACUCAUCUUCCACCCUGUCCCAUCUAGAAUAGUCUAGCCGUGAAUGUCCCUUUGGCUGUGGGAUUGCUUCCCAGCUAGUGGACUGUUGUUCAGAUGAUUUUUCAGCUGUCUCAACAUCACCAACUUCAGUUGUCAGUUCCACAGUCCAGACGUUGUGGUUGCUUCCAUGACAUCUCUGUCGUCUUUCCCUACAUCACCUUCAUUGGUUUCUUUAACAACAUCACCAACUUCAGUUGUCAGUUCGACAGUUCCAGACUCAGCUUCUCCUGUGGUUGCUUCCAUGACAUCACUGUCGUCUUUCCCUACAUCACCUUCAUUGGUUUCUUUAUUAGUAAAUUGUUCUUCCUCAUCUU
RNAcentral lists this long non-coding RNA (1030 nucleotides) under Nicotiana benthamiana. Its description in RNAcentral is "long non-coding RNA (NBEN_LNC036080)". The record is from RNAcentral. Lineage: Eukaryota; Viridiplantae; Streptophyta; Magnoliopsida; Solanales; Solanaceae.